This 801-nucleotide ribosomal RNA is filed under the name uncultured bacterium. RNAcentral's name for it is "bacterial SSU rRNA". It matches the Rfam family "Bacterial small subunit ribosomal RNA", at positions 8 to 796 of the family's 1533-position model. The record is from RNAcentral.
AGAGUUUGAUCCUGGCUCAGGACGAACGCUGGCGGCGUGCUUAACACAUGCAAGUCRAGCGAGAAAGCACCUUCGGGUGUKAGUAAAGCGGCGAACGGGUGAGUAACACGUGGGUAACCUGCCCUGGAGACCGGGACAACCAUUCGAAAGGAUGGCUAAUACCGGAUAUCCUGCGGAAUCGUAUGGUUCYGUAGAAAAUGGUAGCUUAGGCUUCUGCUYCWGGAUGGACCCGCGGCCCAUUAGCUUGUUGGUAGGGUAAYGGCCUACCAAGGCAACGAUGGGUAGCCGGCCUGAGAGGGYGAUCGGCCACACUGGRACUGAGACACGGYCCAGACUCCUACGGGAGGCAGCAGUGGGGAAUCUUGCGCAAUGGGCGAARGCCUGACGCAGCAACGCCGCGUGGGGGAAGAAGGCCUUMGGGUUGUAAACCUCUGUCGGGAGGGACGAAGCCACCUGCGUUAAUAGCGUAAGGGGUGACGGUACCUUCAAAGGAAGCCCCGGCUAACUACGUGCCAGCAGCCGCGGUAAUACGUAGGGGGCAAGCGUUGUCCGGAUUUAUUGGGCGUAAAGAGCGUGUAGGCGGCYUGWCAAGUCYGAUGUGAAAUCUUGCGGCUUAACCGCAAACCUGCAUUGGAAACUGUCAGGCUAGAGUCUGGAUGAGGAAGRUGGAAUUCCUGGUGUAGCGGUGAAAUGCGCAGAUAUCAGGAGGAACACCGGUGGCGAAGGCGGYCUUCUAGGACAGUACUGACGCUGAGACGCGAAAGCGUGGGGAGCAAACAGGAUUAGAUACCCUGGUAGUCC